GACGAACGCUGUUGGCGUGCUUAACACAUGCAAGUCGAACGGAAAGGCCCUGCUUUUGUGGGGUGCUCGAGUGGCGAACGGGUGAGUAACACGUGAGUAACCUGCCCUUGACUUUGGGAUAACUUCAGGAAACUGGGGCAAAUACCGGAUAGGAGCUCCUGCUGCAUGGUGGGGGUUGGAAAGUUUCGGCGGUUGGGGAUGGACUCGCGGCUUAUCAGCUUGUUGGUGGGGUAGUGGCUUACCAAGGCUUUGACGGGUAGCCGGCCUGAGAGGGUGACCGGCCACAUUGGGACUGAGAUACGGCCCAGACUCCUACGGGAGGCAGCAGUGGGGAAUAUUGCGCAAUGGGCGGAAGCCUGAUGCAGCAACGCCGCGUGCGGGAUGACGGCCUUCGGGUUGUAAACCGCUUUCGCCUGUGACGAAGCGUGAGUGACGGUAAUGGGUAAAGAAGCACCGGCUAACUACGUGCCAGCAGCCGCGGUGAUACGUAGGGUGCGAGCGUUGUCCGGAUUUAUUGGGCGUAAAGGGCUCGUAGGUGGUUGAUCGCGUCGGAAGUGUAAUCUUGGGACUUAACCCUGAGCGCGCUUUCGAUACGGGUUGACUUGAGGAAGGUAGGGGAGAAUGGAAUUCCUGGUGGAGCGGUGGAAUGCGCAGAUAUCAGGAGGAACACCAGUGGCGAAGGCGGUUCUCUGGGCCUUUCCUGACGCUGAGGAGCGAAAGCGUGGGGAGCGAACAGGCUUAGAUACCCUGGUAGUCCACGCUGUAAACGGUGGGUACUGGGUGUGGGGUCCAUUCCACGGGUUCCGUGCCGUAGCUAACGCUUUAAGUACCCCGCCUGGGGAGUACGGCCGCAAGGCUAAAACUCAAAGGAAUUGACGGGGCCCCGCACAAGCGGCGGAGCAUGCGGAUUAAUUCGAUGCAACGCGUAGAACCUUACCUGGGUUUGACAUGGAUCGGGAGUGCUCAGAGAUGGGUGUGCCUCUUUUGGGGUCGGUUCACAGGUGGUGCAUGGCUGUCGUCAGCUCGUGUCGUGAGAUGUUGGGUUAAGUCCCGCAACGAGCGCAACCCUUGUUCACUGUUGCCAGCACGUUAUGGUGGGGACUCAGUGGAGACCGCCGGGGUCAACUCGGAGGAAGGUGGGGAUGACGUCAAGUCAUCAUGCCCCUCAUGUCCAGGGCUUCACGCAUGCUACAAUGGCUGGUACAGAGAGUGGCGAGCCUGUGAGGGUGAGCGAAUCUCGGAAAGCCGGUCUCAGUUCGGAUUGGGGUCUGCAACUCGACCUCAUGAAGUCGGAGUCGCUAGUAAUCGCAGAUCAGCAACGCUGCGGUGAAUACGUUCCCGGG
Molecule: ribosomal RNA, 1343 nt
Filed under: uncultured bacterium
Lineage: Bacteria
Description: 16S ribosomal RNA
Rfam family: Bacterial small subunit ribosomal RNA
Source: RNAcentral